GUUUCUCUUUGUAGUAGGUUGUAUCAUGGAUGCGACCCAAACGGCCUAAAAGGUUCCUCCGCUCACUGUUUUGGCCCAACAACUUGACGCUGGUCUAACCCAAGGGGCCUAAAAGGUUCCUCUUUUACAUAAAAUCUAAACCAGGAAGGCACCCAAUCUCCAGGGUCGAAGAAACAACGUUCAGAGCUAGCUUAGAAGACGAGGUGUAAACUACAAUGGGAAGUGUCAGUAACGGUUGGUUUUGUUCUCCAUCAGUCCUCAUAGCUCCUAUUGAGAACAAGAGGAUGUGCAAUUUUGCAGUGUCCAUUUCGAAGAAUGCCUUGAAAUCGAGCAAGAUUUGUUGCAAGCUACCUGGGACUGAGAGUAGUGGGAUUGAGCAGAACCCCACAAGCCGUAGACCCAACAGUUCCGGGACCAAGAUAGAAGAUUACAACGUUGCGAUGAAGAGGAUGAUGAGGAACCCUUAUGAGUAUCACCAUGAUCUUGGCAUGAACUAUACUCUGAUAACUGAUAAUCUCAUAGUGGGUUCCCAGCCUCAGAAACCUGAAGAUAUAGAUCACCUAAAAAAGGAAGAGAAUGUGGCAUAUAUUCUGAACUUGCAGCAGGACAAGGACGUUGAAUAUUGGGGAAUUGACUUGCAAUCGAUAAUAGAAAGAUGUCGAGAAGUUGGAAUCCGUCACAUGAGGAGGCCUGCAAGAGAUUUUGAUCCAGAUUCGUUGCGAAGUGGAUUACCUAAAGCUGUUUCAUCAUUGGAAUGGGCCAUUUUCGAGGGAAAAGGAAAAGUUUAUGUGCACUGCACAGCUGGAUUAGGAAGGGCCCCGGCUGUUGCAAUUGCUUACAUGUUCUGGUUCUGUGGCAUGAAUCUGAAUAAAGCAUAUGAUACACUAACUUCAAAGAGACCUUGUGGACCCAAUAGAAGUGCAAUACGUGGAGCUACUUAUGAUCUGGCUAAGAAUGAUCCAUGGAAAGAGCCCUUUGAUAACCUUCCGGAAUAUGCGUUUGAGGGUAUAGCAGAUUGGGAGAGAAAUUUGAUACAAGACCGUGUUCGUUCCCUCCGUGGAAGUUGAGCACCUAGGCCUUGGACCUCGGAUAUUGAACAUACUUCAUGGAUGUCCACAUACCCUGUAAAUCAUGCAAACUGUUAGGUAACAGUGUUCAGCAAAGUGUUAGUAAUGGAUGAGGAGUCUUCCAGGCAAGCAAGCAACGGCCAACAUCAAUUAGGAUUCUAAAGUAUACAUGUCAUUAGAAAUUCCAGACAUUUCAACGAUUAUGUCAUUAUGAGCCACCGAGCUGGUAGCAACUUCAUGGCUGUGCUCAGAGCUGGGGGCCUGUCAACCAUGAUUUACCAUUCUUCUUGGAAAAGAACUUAGAAUUUAGCUUCGAAUUUGUAUAUAUGAUUCAAAACUAUUAUAUCUGUAAGUAGCAAAUAAAUCUGUGCUCCAGAGAUGGCACAGAAGCUGUAGGUUUUGUUGUGGAAGCAUUUUCAGUUAAAUGAGAUUUUAUCAUCAGACCGGCAA
Molecule: RNA transcript, 1517 nt
Organism: Alnus glutinosa
Lineage: Eukaryota; Viridiplantae; Streptophyta; Magnoliopsida; Fagales; Betulaceae
Gene name: phosphoglucan phosphatase LSF2, chloroplastic
Exons: 6
Source: RefSeq, a predicted model, not a curated record